The submitters of this non-coding RNA (346 nucleotides) gave its source as unclassified sequences. The record is from Rfam.
CGUUCCGUUCUCGGCGGAGAAUGUUGUCAAGGGUCAGAUAAAAUAAUUUCAUUUGAGAUGACACACUCCAGGCGUGAAAGACCGCUGACAAAAGUGUCCGCACCCCCUAACGGGUUACAAAUAGGGGAAGGCGAAAGUAGGUAAAGUGACACCCCAUGACCUUCAAAAUGAACCCCCCGAAAGGGUUCGGGCUAAGUCCUUUUUAGGAUAUGCCACAACGGGGCAAGAGUUGGCUGACAGUGACAUGAAGAGGACACGGACAGACCCCGAAAGGGGAGCAAGUAGGGCAUGCAGACGCUUGUAGAAAGUUCGUUCAAAACUUGAAAUAGUUUUGGAGUUGUAACCC